UGUAACAAGGUCUCCGUUGGUGAACCAGCGGAGGGAUCAUUACCGAGUUUUCAACUCCCUAACCCUUCUGUGAACCUACCUAUCGUUGCUUCGGCGGACUCGCCCCAGCCCGGACGCGGACUGGACCAGCGGCCCGCCGGGGACCUCAAACUCUUGUAUUCCAGCAUCUUCUGAAUACGCCGCAAGGCAAAACAAAUGAAUCAAAACUUUCAACAACGGAUCUCUUGGCUCUGGCAUCGAUGAAGAACGCAGCGAAACGCGAUAAGUAAUGUGAAUUGCAGAAUCCAGUGAAUCAUCGAAUCUUUGAACGCACAUUGCGCCCGCCAGCAUUCUGGCGGGCAUGCCUGUUCGAGCGUCAUUUCAACCCUCGACCUCCCCUUGGGGAGGUCGGCGUUGGGGACCGGCAGCACACCGCCGGCCCUGAAAUGGAGUGGCGGCCCGUCCGCGGCGACCUCUGCGCAGUAAUACAGCUCGCACCGGAACCCCGACGCGGCCACGCCGUAAAACACCCAACUUCUGAACGUUGACCUCGAAUCAAGGUAGGACUACCCGCUGAACUUAAGCAUAUCAU
Molecule: ribosomal RNA, 571 nt
Filed under: Beauveria bassiana
Lineage: Eukaryota; Fungi; Ascomycota; Sordariomycetes; Hypocreales; Cordycipitaceae
Description: eukaryotic LSU rRNA
Rfam family: 5.8S ribosomal RNA (bases 205-358)
Source: RNAcentral